GAUGAACGCUGGCGGCGUGCCUAAUACAUGCAAGUCGAGCGAACAGACGAGGAGCUUGCUCCUCGGACGUUAGCGGCGGACGGGUGAGUAACAGGUGGAUAACCUACCUAUAAGACUGGGAUAACUUCGGGAAACCGGAGCUAAUAUCGGAUAAUAUAUUGAACCGGAGGGUUCAACAGUGAAAGACGGUUUUGAUGUCACUUAUGGAGGGAUCCGUGCCGCAUUAGCUAGUUGGUAAGGUAACGGCUUACCAAGGCAACGAUGCGUAGCCGACCUGAGAGGGUGAGCGCCCACACUGGAACUGAGACACGGCCCAGACUCCUACGGGAGGCAGCAGUAGGGAAUCUUCCGCAAAGGGCGAAAGCCUGACGCAGCAACGCCGCGUGAGUGAUGAAGGCCUUCGGAUCGUAAAACUCUGUUAGUAGGGAAGAACAAAAGUGUAAGUAACUAUGCACGUCUUGACGGUACCUAAUCAGAAAGCCCCGGCUAACUACGUG
This 497-nucleotide ribosomal RNA is filed under the name uncultured bacterium. Its description in RNAcentral is "partial 16S ribosomal RNA". It matches the Rfam family "Bacterial small subunit ribosomal RNA", at positions 28 to 507 of the family's 1533-position model. The record is from RNAcentral.